GGGCGAAUGGCGGAAUUGGUAGACGCACCACACUCAAAAUGUGGCGGCUUAGGUCAUGUGGGUUCAAGUCCCACUUCGCCCA
Molecule: transfer RNA, 82 nt
Filed under: Synechococcaceae cyanobacterium RL_1_2
Lineage: Bacteria; Bacillati; Cyanobacteriota; Cyanophyceae; Synechococcales; Synechococcaceae
Description: tRNA-Leu
Rfam family: tRNA
About the family: Transfer RNA (tRNA) molecules are approximately 80 nucleotides in length.
Source: RNAcentral